RNAcentral lists this long non-coding RNA (944 nucleotides) under Vitis vinifera (wine grape). Its description in RNAcentral is "long non-coding RNA (VVIN_LNC005633)". The record is from RNAcentral. Lineage: Eukaryota; Viridiplantae; Streptophyta; Magnoliopsida; Vitales; Vitaceae.
UGUCUUCAACCUAGCUUUCUCCUCUGCUUCAGCCAUGGGGAUGCUGCUCAGGUCCCUGCUUCUCAGUCUCGUCUGCACCUGCAUUGCGGGUAUUUUUGUUUUUCAACUUCCUUUUUCCCAUGGCUUGGUUUUGAAAACCUGAGUUUUGAACCACUUAGCAGUUAGCACACACUACAUGGGCACAUUUCAACUCUUUUGUCAUGUUCUUUUAGCUGGUCUAUGUUUUUGAACUUUUUCGUUCUUUAGUGGGUGAGACUGACUUAACAACUCAAGAUACACUAAGUUUCUAACUAAAAUCUAACUGUUUCGUGUUUUGUGUGCUUCAGGUGAAGUAUCGGCCACAACAAUUUCACUAUACAACAAAUGCUCACAUCCAGUGUGGCCAGGCAUACAACCAGGCGCAGGCAAGCCCAUCCUUGCCCGUGGAGGCUUCAAGCUCCCACCCAACAAGGCCUACUCCCUCCACAUCCCAGCGGCCUGGUCCGGCCGCAUCUGGGGCCGUCACGGAUGCUCCUUCGACGCCCACGGCCGGGGCCGCUGCGCUACCGGCGACUGCGGCGGCUCCCUUUUCUGCAACGGCAUGGGCGGCACACCUCCGGCCACCCUCGCCGAGAUCACCCUGGGUUCGGAGCAAGAUUUCUACGACGUGAGCCUCGUCGACGGUUACAACCUGGCCAUCUCCAUCACCCCCUUCAAAGGGUCAGGCAAGUGUAGCUACGCGGGAUGUGUGAGCGACCUCAACACCAUGUGUCCGGUGGGUCUCCAGGUGAGAUCCCACGACAACAGGCGGGUGGUGGCCUGCAAGAGCGCAUGCUCUGCCUUCAACUCGCCCCGCUACUGCUGCACUGGAAGCUUUGGGAGUCCGCAGUCCUGCAAGCCCACCGCCUACUCCAAGAUCUUCAAAGCCGCAUGUCCAAGAGCUUAUUCCUAUGCUUAUGAUGAUC